AUUGAACGCUGGCGGCAUGCUUUACACAUGCAAGUCGAACGGCAGCGCGGGCUUCGGCCUGGCGGCGAGUGGCGAACGGGUGAGUAAUGCAUCGGAACGUGCCCAGUAGUGGGGGAUAGCCCGGCGAAAGCCGGAUUAAUACCGCAUACGACCUGAGGGUGAAAGCGGGGGACCGAAAGGCCUCGCGCUAUUGGAGCGGCCGAUGUCGGAUUAGCUAGUUGGUGGGGUAAAGGCUUACCAAGGCGACGAUCCGUAGCUGGUCUGAGAGGACGACCAGCCACACUGGGACUGAGACACGGCCCAGACUCCUACGGGAGGCAGCAGUGGGGAAUUUUGGACAAUGGGGGCAACCCUGAUCCAGCCAUGCCGCGUGCGGGAAGAAGGCCUUCGGGUUGUAAACCGCUUUUGUUCGGGAAGAAAUCCUCCGGGCUAAUACCCCGGGGGGAUGACGGUACCGGAAGAAUAAGCACCGGCUAACUACGUG
RNAcentral lists this ribosomal RNA (484 nucleotides) under uncultured bacterium. RNAcentral's name for it is "partial 16S ribosomal RNA". It matches the Rfam family "Bacterial small subunit ribosomal RNA", at positions 28 to 507 of the family's 1533-position model. The record is from RNAcentral.